AAUGCAAGCAGGAGAGGGGCAGAGAGAGAGGGAGUCACAGAAUCCAAAGCAGGCUCCAGGCUCCGAGCUGUCAGCACAGAGCCCGACGUGGGGCUCGAACCCACGAACCGCGAGAUCGUGACCUGAGCCCAAGUCUGAGCCCAAGCUCAACCGUCUGAGCCCCCCAGGCGCCCUCCCCCCAUGCUUAGCUUUGAAAAAGAUUCUGUUUAAGAGAAGGGAGGGCAUCUGCCCCAGAGCGUGGCCUGAAAACAGACAGUGGUAAAGCAAAACCCUCCCAAGAGCUCCCGCUGCCUCUCUCUGAGGGCUCCGUUAAACACACAGACUUGGAGACCACACAGUCCUUCCGCUUGUGAGAAGGUGCUAGGAUGCUUAUCAGACUUAGGGUGGACGAGACCUGACGGGCUGCCGGAGCACCCCAGCUGCAACACAAGACCCCAGAGGCCGGUGGCCCCUUGCGCGGUAGCCCCUGCCUUUACUUCUGGGUCUGGACAGGAGCAGCCCUCUGGCUUCUGCAGACAGCCUCCCCCGCCCCCGUCCCCUUGGACGUACAACUGUAGGCCGUGUGGCCGAUCUGGUACAGCUGGAUCCCUCUGACGCUCAUGUCUCCCCUCCAGUUAAGAUGGAAAUAUAUUAGAGAAUAAACAACCAAAAGAGACAUGCUGAGUUUCACCCAAAAAUCAAUCAGAAGAGAAAAACACUUGGGCCAGCGUCAAGAGAAACAAAACUGAGCCAGCACAGAUUUUUAUGAAAAUGAUCAUUGAAUAGUAUUUCCAUGAAAAGGCAACUGACUCAGAGUCGGAGGGUGAGUGUCCCGUGAGGCAGACCAGAGUCGGAAGGGCCCGCCCACGCCCGGGGCUCACAGCCCCGCUCAAGCUCAGUUACUAGAAGUGACCCAACCAUCCCGAAAAUAGGAAAAAGGACACGAGGGACAAGCCAGACUCUUAGGAAGGGAGAAAAUGUGUGUUGUGAAACCAGCCCGGCUCGGGAAGACUGUCACGUCGCAUUGGGCUUCUCCUCCCCAGAAGCAGCCCCGCAAAUAACCCUCUUGCGCCCGGGGAAGGCUGUGCGGCACAGUCCCUGACCUUCUGGAAGGGCCCAGCGAGAAAACGGAUGUUGCUGCGAGUGCCAGAGGCGCACAGAUGAGGCGUUUUGUUUAAAUGCUUACCUCCGGCUCAAGGCAUAGGAGGCGUUCUGGUACUUUCGGCUGGUAUACUUCCUUCUGGAACAUCACGAGGGAGCUGCCUUCGAUCUGAGGCAGGAGAUCCGAGUGGUUCUGUGAGCAUCUCCCGGGAGCUGCCCUGUGGAACCCAGCGGCUCCCUCCGCCCCCCCCCCCCCCCCCCCCCCGGGCCGUCCGGGCUCCGUAUCUGGAAUGUAAAAGAACGCCUGGAUUCCUGGUGUGGUGUCAGGACCGCUUCUCUUAAGAAAGCACCUCCCUCUUAAACAAAAGCACCAGGGACCUCGGACCCUGCUGUUGGCUGUGACGCGCGUCAAGCUUAGAACGAGGAAGGAUUGCGUCCUCACUCUGUCGCCCUGCAGACCUGCACCUUGGCCACUGUAGGUGUUCCACGAUCUUUGAAGACCCAAGAAAAGCAGUGUUGGCCAAAAGCAAGACAAAUGACUCACAGAGAAAAAAGAUGGUGGGGCCAAGGGCAAUUAAAGCUGCCUCAGGUUCUGAGCGGAUGGUGAAUGAGCUGGUCGACUGAAGGACAUGGUUCAGACUGUCCCGGACCCAGCAGCUCAUAUCAAGGUAGGUUUCAUCUCGGCCGGGGGGCCGCUCUUGCUUCCUCCUUGGCUGCAUUUUGGUGGAUGCAGGCCCGCACAUCAGCCUGUGCGGGGGGCAGCCAGCCUCUGCUGUGGGCCGGGUCCGUCCCGCCACCUGUUUUUAGACCGCCAUGAGCUAAGAUAAUGGUUUUCACAAUAUGGAGCGGUUGAAAACAAUCAAAAGAAGAAGAAUAUUUCCUAACCCGUGGUAAAUUAGAUCUCGUUGUCCAUAAAGAAAGUUUUGCUGGGACGCAGCCACGCUCCCUCGUUUCCACACCGUGUGUGGCUGCUUUCGUGUCCUGACGGCAGAGCUGAGUGGCGGCGACCAAGACCGCGUGAUCCGCAAAGCUGAAAGUAUUUACUGUCUGACCUUCGGCAGAAGAUGGCUGACCCCUGAAUUGACACAGAAGCCACAUCCGGAUUCUUCCAGCUUCUGUUUUAACGCCACCCCCUUGCCCCUUGCCGGGGGUUACCUGGGAGGACACCGGAGGCUGUGCCCUCGCACUUCCCGUGCCCAGGGGUGGUUUUACCUGGCCACGCCCACACGUGGCACCUGUUUCACCUGUUCCCCAGCUGCACCUCCCCAUGUCUUUGGAGGUGAGGCAACAAGGUUGAGUCCCGAGCCACCCGGGAGUCCUGAGAGGAAGCCGGCCCGUUUGGCACACACGGGCACAGCCGCCGGGAGGAAGUAAAGAGAUGGUUUUAGUAACUUGACCCAAAUAAAAGUUACAGGAAACACUGGGGCUUGAGCUACAUUACCCCGAUCGGCUGUCUACACCUGUGCUAGUUAGUUCAGCUGUCUACACUGGCCCAAAUCAUUCGCCACCUUGCCAUUUCUGCACGUCCCCUGCGUGUAUUCAUUUUCCCUAAGUGGCCUCGUAGGUUUCACUGAUCUAAAUGUUCUUUGCCUGAAACAUUUCCUGAAAAUGGAAAGUGGCUUCUAAUUGAAAGGAAAGUUCACCCUUUUUUGGCCAAAAUAUGAAGUGCCCUCCAACAUCACGCACACGCACACACACAUCUUAAAAGCAACGCGCUUGGGAGUGCUAUGUACCGGGUGUAAUUCACGCUCUUCCACGUUUGACCGCGGAUUUAGAAGGAACGGGUUCAGUGCGUUGUUCAAGGUUGGUGGGUGCUCCCGAAGCGUCAGAAAGAGGGGCUCCCCAAGGAGUGUUGAGCCUUCAGUGUCGGGGAGGAGCAGACCUCUGUGGCGGACACUGUCGUGUGGCUUGUGUGCGAUGUCUCACUGGGGCCGGGACAGUUAUGCCUGUAACACGUGCAGUGGGCAGUCUCCCGUGGACGUGGUAAGGCUCCUUCGGAAAUUCCUGGGGCGUAUUUGGCAAGCGUGUCCGUGCCACACAGGGACGGGGGAGGGGGAAGGCUUUUUCCGUUUCAUCUUUGUUGACCGUGAAGCUGAGGGAUGCAAAUAAAAGCUCAUGGAGAAGGCCAGACGAGAAGAAUCUUCUGUGCCUCAGGCUAUGAAGGUCAACCACCCAAAGUCAUCAUGGUUGGCAUUUUAUUCCUAGCCAACGGGAAGGAAAAGCUGAAGUCAGCAAGAAAUCAUUAGGGCUUGUUUUUAAAAGCUAAUUCAUCAAAUGCAAACAGUCUUAGAUAAACCCAAGAAGCAUGAUUUCUGAUGAUGUGUUUAGUGGACAGGUCGGCAUUUGAUCUCAGGAGCGAGCUGUAUUUCCAGCUCUGAUUUCUCUCAUUAUCAUCAUAGCCGUUACCAUAAAUGUAAGUGAAGGCUGAAGAGAAAGAGAACCAGGAGAAUUUUUUUUAAUACAUAUCAACUCAGGAAGUAAAAAUAAAAAAGAAAUCUCAACUCACAUUGCUUCUGUGUGUUUUGAAGAUGAACUGGCAGUUAGAAGUGCAGUUAUUAGCAGCUGAUGUUGGCUCUGAGUUGCAGAGAAUUAUGUUAAAGACAUUUGUUUCCUUUGUAAAAUCUAUCAAAUUCCAGCUAUUGGAAUUUGAAUAAUUAUUCCUGGACUUCCUCCCCCCCUUUUUUUUUGUACAUGAGAUUGGUAUCCUUGCCAAAAAAGUUAAGAAAAUAGAUGGCCUUCCACGGCUUCCUUAAAACACCUGAUUUGGGAAAUUUAUUCACUAAAAUUUUAUGUGCUGUGAAGUCUCUGGUUCUGGGCUGAGUGCAGCUUUUAUUUCUGGGAGGGGAAGUUCUUAUAAAUGGCAUAUGAACUGUUCCACUUGAUGUGUUAAUGUAAAUAGUGGAAGAUUUUGUCUUUGGCUCAUUGCUACUGAGCGUUUUUUUUUUUUUUUUUUUUUCCUCAUCUGAAAAGGACCUGAAUUCCCCACAGAAGUGACUUAACAUUGCAGGUGUGCGUGGAAACAGACGUUUAUGACUCCACAUUUGUGUCCAUAGUCUGAUCCGGAGGGAAGUCAUGUUCCUUUCAUAUUUAAGAAAUUUAUUCUCCAUGAUUUACUAUAACUCUCUUCUGCCAGAACAAAUUACUUUUCCCCUUUUAUAUGUUUAAGGAGCUAGAAAUAAUAAUAAUAAAAGGGAGGGAUGGUAAGUAACUGUGAAAUAUAGAACAUUCUUGAUUUAAAAGAAUAUUAAGAGUUGUGGCAAUUUCGUUGACAAAGAGAAUGAGCAGAACUUUAAUAAGAAAACAUUUUCAGCUUAUUCUCUGUCGGUGCUAAUACCAAGUCACUAAGCACAUUUUAAUUUGUCUUUCUCUGCUGGUCCUUCCACGUCCUGUCUUACGCUAGAAAUUAUACUUCUGUGUCACAUAAGCGUGAUCUUAGCAUGUCAGGUGUAUGACCAUGCUUCUGCUCUGCUGGGUGGGUACAGUCCAUGGCUAUCAAAUGUCAACCCAUGCUAUUAUCCCAAGGAGGGAAAGACUUGCAGAUUUAUUUUGUUAGGAUUCGAGAUUUUGGUCAUUAAUUCUCAUUCUAAUGUUUAUUUUUGGGAGAGAGAGAGAGAGAGAGAGAGCGAGCACGAGUGGUAGAGGGGCAGAGAGAGAGAGGGAGACGCAGAAUCGGAAGCAGGCUCCAGGCUCUGAGCUGUCAGCCCAGAGCCCGACACAGGGCUCGAACUCGUGAACCACGAAAUCACGAUCUGAGCCGAAGUCAGAUACUUAACCAACCCAGGCGCCCCCCAUUAGUUCUCAUUCUGAUAAAGGAAUUUUUGAUUCACGUUAUUGCGUUUCUUCUCAAGAAUUUCAUCCUCUUAAUACUUCCAUAUACUACCAUUUGAGGAAAAGGAUUAACAUAUUAGUCAAGUUUACAGCUUUAAAGAGACAGCCGAUUGGCACAUUUUUUAACUGUUCCCUUUAAGGCUGUUCGCCAGGUAUUCGCAUAGAAGGUUGUACGUUUCGGAACUGAUCAAGCGAGGCCUGUGUGAAUUCGAGUUUCACUCAUGGGUCCACCAGAGGUAUGAUCUAGGGACGCCGGUUACAGAACUGUCUGCCUCGUGCAUCCUGGCUAGGUUCGUGUCGUGGAUCAGAGCGAGGGUCCUGGCAUCUUAAGACUUGAUUCAAAUCCCGCUCCCUCAUUUACUAACCUGGGUGGUUUUGAACAGGUGGCUGGGGUUUCCUCUUAUUUGAAAUGCAAGCACUGACUUUGUGGGGUCAGAUUGAGGACUGUAAUUACACGCAGCACACAAAAACCCCAUUGAGUGUUGAACUACUGUGAGCUGUUCCUGUGGUAUCCUAUAAAGUGAGGGUAGCAUCCCUCUUAAAAAUACAGUAUUAUAGUGUCUGUGAUGACACGGAACAGCAUGGGUCUGUCUUACAAAACACGGAGCCGGGUGAAAAAAAAAGUCCAAAACAAUGUGAUCUAUGGCACAGUGCUUUUCACAAAUCCAUGAAAACAUGUCCCCUUCCCCAGCGUCAUGUAAUUUUCACGCACGCACUUAAAACAUAGUGAUCACAUCAGAGUAGAUGGGUGCGCAGGUGGGAUAUGUUGUCUGGUGGCUUGGAGAGAAGGGUUAAGGGAAAAAAUAAUAGUACAGAGAUAGUACAAGUUUAUAGCAUUGAGGUUCGGCUGCGGUGCUCAGGAUGGUCUCCUGCACACUGGGGGAGGGGGAGUGUAAAUCAGCACGACCCUUUGGUGUAUAAGUCGAGUGUUGCCUAGUGAGGCUGAAGGUGCACCGACCCUGUGCUCCAGUGGUCCCACCCCUGGGUACACCCCUGUUGCCCUUGGAUGCCUGGAGAUGGGCAUGAGGAAAAAGUGAACAACCCAGGUGCCCAACAGGAGAAUGGAUAACUAAAUGGCAUUCUAGCCCUAUAAUGGAAUACUACACAGCAGUGAAAAUAACAAGUGUCUACCUGUGUCUGUGUAUCAGUGUGGAUGAUUCUCAAGGUUGGGAAAAGAAAACAAGUCACAGGAGAGUAAAUACAAUAUGAUCCCACAUGUAAAGAUCAAAAAGUGGUAGGACAGGGGCGCCUGGGUGGCUCGGUCAGUUGAGCGUCCGACUUCGUCUCAGGUCAUGAUCUCGCGGUUUGUGGGUUCGAGCCCCACGUCGGGCUCUGUGCUGACAGCUCAGAGCCUGGGGGCUGCUUCCGAUUCUGUGUCUCCCUCUCUCUCUCUGCCCCUCCUCUCUCUGCACCCGUUCUGUCUCUGUCUCUCUCUCAAAAAUAAAUAAUCAUUUAAAAAAAUGUGAUGGGACUGAAAACAUCAUGUUGUCAGAGAAAACUAUGUGUGUCGGAAAGAAAAAAAGCCACAUUGAGUACAUACUUCGGGACGGGCCUUACUUACCUUGUCAGGGAGGAGAGAGCUUGGGGAACGGGUUUCUGAGGUUGCCUGUUGUGAGCUGAGAAGCACCUUCCCUGUACCCACAAGGGGCUUGGGGUGGGUGGGGGAAUAAGGGACCACAAAGACACAGCACCUGCCAUCCAGGGCGCAAGUCACAUGUUCCCAAACACCUGGGAUGUGGCGCUGCACACAGCCAAGGAGGGACCCAGGGCAGGGGGCUGGGCGGACGCCUAAGGGAAGCUGCCUGACCUGCUCUACCCACUCACCUGUCCUCACCUGUGAGCAG
Molecule: long non-coding RNA, 6752 nt
Organism: Panthera uncia (snow leopard)
Lineage: Eukaryota; Metazoa; Chordata; Mammalia; Carnivora; Felidae
Exons: 4
Source: RefSeq, a predicted model, not a curated record